This 420-nucleotide ribosomal RNA is filed under the name uncultured Glomeraceae. Its description in RNAcentral is "SSU rRNA". It matches the Rfam family "Eukaryotic small subunit ribosomal RNA", at positions 459 to 886 of the family's 1831-position model. The record is from RNAcentral. Lineage: Eukaryota; Fungi; Glomeromycota; Glomeromycetes; Glomerales; Glomeraceae.
GGGAGGUAGUGACAAUAAAUAACAAUACAGGGUUCUUUGAAUCUUGUAAUUGGAAUGAGUACAAUUUAAAUCUCUUAACGAGGAACAAUUGGAGGGCAAGUCUGGUGCCAGCAGCUGCGGUAAUUCCAGCUCCAAUAGCGUAUAUUAAAGUUGUUGCAGUUAAAAAGCUCGUAGUUGAAUUUCGGGAUCAAUACGUCGGUCGUGCCUCCGGUAUGUACUGGCGUUAUUGGUUUCUCCUUUCUGAGGAGCCAUGAUGCCAUUAAUUUGGUGUCGUGGGAGUCAGGACUGUUACUUUGAAAAAUUAGAGUGUUUAAAGCAGGCUCACGCUUGAAUACAUUAGCAUGGAAUAAUGAAAUAGGACGUUUGAUCCUAUUUUGUUGGUUUCUAGGAUUGACGUAAUGAUUAAUAGGGAUAGUUGGG